UACGCAGGGUGCUAGCGUUGUUCGGAAUUACUGGGCGUAAAGCGCACGUAGGCGGACUUGUAAGUUGGGGGUGAAAUCCCGGGGCUCAACCCCGGAAUUGCCUUCAAGACUGCAAGUCUGGAGGUCAGGAGAGGCGAGCUGAAUUCCGAGUGUAGAGGUGAAAUUCGUAGAUAUUCGGAGGAACACCAGUGGCGAAGGCGGCUCGCUGGACUGAUACUGACGCUGAGGUGCGAAAGCGUGGGGAGCAAACAGG
Molecule: ribosomal RNA, 253 nt
Filed under: uncultured bacterium
Lineage: Bacteria
Description: partial 16S ribosomal RNA
Rfam family: Bacterial small subunit ribosomal RNA
Source: RNAcentral